RNAcentral lists this long non-coding RNA (8226 nucleotides) under Lactuca sativa (garden lettuce). RNAcentral describes it as "long non-coding RNA (LSAT_LNC009590)". The record is from RNAcentral. Lineage: Eukaryota; Viridiplantae; Streptophyta; Magnoliopsida; Asterales; Asteraceae.
UUAAACAUGCCAGUUAUCAUAUCAAUCACAUGUGAUUGAUAACCCGCAUGCACGAGGAUUUAUUACACUGAUAACUGUUUUGCCAAGUAUGAUACUGUAAAUGGUUUUCCAAAACGACUUUACUUGUUCAAAUCUUUAAUUAUUUUGUUUUAUCAAAACUAUAACCAAAAUGUGUUUAUGAAAGGUCUUCAAAGGAUUUCUAAAGGCUUUCAAACUUAUUUUACAAAAGAAUACCAAGUCGUGAUUUUCUUAAGUAUAAAGGUUUUCCCAAAGUUUUCUUCCAUGUUUUCAUACUCCUACUUGGUUAGAUACUACUGCUUCGUUAUACUUCCACUUCGAGAUACACUUAUACUUGAUAAUGCUUCUACUUCACUUAUACUUAUUAACGCUCCUACUUCACGAUACGCUUCUACUUCACGAUACACUCCUACUUCACGAUACGCUUCUACUUCACGAUACACUUCUACUUCACGAUACGCUUCUACUUCAUGAUACGUUUCCACUUAGUUAGAUGUAUGCCUGUACAUGUAUAGUUAUAUAAAUAAUGAUUAAAGGACUUAGGAAGGCUAGUUCGCCCUAUUUCCUUUUCUUCGUUGAGAUGUGGUCUGGUGGGAUCGGAUAUCCAUUCGAAGGUCGUUUGAUCAUUAAUUAUAUAUCAUGUAUACAUGUAUAUACAUAUGGGUUGAUAUCGAUCGGUUCAGUUAUGAGUCUCUACUGCUAGUCCAACACUUACAUAGAAUCCACUNUGUCUACUUGGUAACCAGAGUCUCUUGUAGGGAGAGCGGACAUUGUGUGUAUAGAUCUAUACAGGAUUAACACCCCCGCACCCUGACUGCUAGAUACAGUCCACGACCUACCAAGCCAAGGGGUGACUAAUGUCACAUCUUUAUUUUGACGCUUGCAGGGCAUCGAGUUCUCUAGUAUCUAUCAGUAUGGUUACGAGUAUCUCGAGGUUACCUUAUAACUCAUGGAAUUAAGGCAACGACGCUUAACACAGUAUGCUGGAAAUACACACCUUGAAAAUACACACCUCGAAUAUACACACCCGGAAUUACACUAUUUUUAGACCUUGCUAGACGUAUCAUUCAAUUGAUACUGUCUGGGGUCUGUAUCCACUAUUUUAGACCUUACUAGACGUAUCAUUCAUUUGAUCCUGUCUGGGGUCUGUAUCUCUUUGUUUUUAGACCUUGCUAGACGUAUCAUUCAUUUGAUCCUGUCUGGGGUCUGUGUCUCUUUAUUUUUAGACCUUGUUAGACGUAUCAUUCAUUUGAUCCUGUCUGGGGUCUGUGUCGCUUUGUUUUAGACCUUGCUAGACGUAUCAUUCAUUUGAUCCUGUCUGGGGUCUGUUUUUCUCUGUUUUAGAUCUUGCUAGACGUAUCAUUCAUUCGAUACCGUCUGGGGUCUGUAUCUCUUUUGUUAGACUGAGCAAGGCGUGUCGUUCAUUCGAUACUUUCCUGGAGUUUAUGAUCUCUUUGCCUUAGUCAGCAGUCUUCACUGCUGAGGCAUACAUUAUUUUCCUUGAUAUUCUCAUACUUUCUUUAAAAUCAAACACAGUAUAUUGGUAAUGAUAGUGUUUAAGGGAAAAUCUCUUUUCACAACCUAACUUAGUCGGGUCUUGGCAUAAGACUACAUUUAUUGAAGAAAAUAUAGGAUUUUCUGGUAAGGACACUAAUACACUGUAGACUCUAAACUACCACUUUUAUAAAGUUAUUUUGAACUUAAACAAGUGAUACUAAAGACUUAUGAACUCACCAGCAUUUAUAAAAAUGCUGAUACUCGUUUUCAAAAUAACUUGUAUUCUCAGGUCAGCAAUAGACAGGUACAUCUCAGGAGCUUUUGGUGAAUACAGUUCUGUACCAAGCUGCACCUAUAUUAUUACUUGUAUUACCUUGAUGUUUCUAUUUAUUGUAAACCAUGUAAAACUAUUACUAUUAAUGCGAUGGUUGUUGUACUUUAAUUACUAUACUACAUAUGUUGUGAUACUUGACAUGACGUCAUCCACCCCAGAACAUUUCUGCCGUUCCGGUUUUGGGGUGUGACAGAUUGGUAUCAGAGCAUUGUUUACAGUGAGUUAAGUAUAUCAAUUCAUAAAAGAUAUACAACCUAUAAAUACAUAUGGAUAAACACUCUGACCAAGAAUUAUACUUUAAAAUAUAACCAUAUUUUACCAAAGUAUAAGAACAUCCAGAAUCCAAACACUCGAACACAAGUAUCAGAAGAAGAACAAGAAUAAAAGUCUUCGGAUGUUGGGCAUUACCGUCAAACUUGGGCAGUUAUGUAAUCGUAAGCUGGAAUAAAUGUAACCUGAUCAACUACAUUUAUUCGAGAUGCGAUGAACGUGUGCUUGGGAGUGAUAGUGGUGUUGCAACAGGUCUGAAAUUUACCAACUAGGAAUGAUAGAGUCAAACAUAAAGUUUAAAAUACUGUGGGAGUAUUUUGGAAUACUAAAAGACACACAUUAAUCCCAGAAUCACAUUCAGAAGAUAAGAACAAACAAGAAAUUAAAAUACCAUAGGGGUAUUUUAGGGUACAUAGAUAACCUUGUGUGAAAAACUAAAAAGAUCCUUAUUGAUAUACCUACAAUUACAAAGGGUAUACUCACAAGGUUAUAUAUAAUAAGGAUCCCAUAGGCUAAGAAUGUGUGGUUUCGCUCUACUUCCUUUUCUUCAUUGGGAUGUGGAUAUAGAGUUGUAUUACAUAUUCGAAGGCCUAUCAGAUCUAAGUUAUAUAUGAUUUGUAUACCCUAUGUAAUCGUAGCAGGACUCGAUAUGGAUCACCCAGUGAAAUGUUAAUAAUCUCUUAGGAUUCUUUAGACAUUUCCAUUCUCGCACGAACCCUGUAGAAAACCCUAUCCACUUUAGUGUUCGACGGAAGAGUUGAUUCCGACCCCGAAGAGGUUCAUUGAGAAGAUUUCUAGUUCGGAAAUAAAUGAACUGGGUCGAGACUAUUGAAAUCACCAAGUGCCUAUAUCAUUUAGGCACAUUGGUGAGAAGUUCGCCUAAACUUCCGAGAUUUCCAGUCGUCCAUCAUGAAUUGAUGACACCUAGAGUCGGAUUCGGAAGUAUGGCGGAGUAGAAAUUCAAUAUGUCUUCAUGAGAAAAGAACCCUAGGUAACUAUCCGAAGAAAACCAACACCGGUCCCAGUCAAAGAUACGAGGUAGACAGAGGGAACCAGUACAUGGAACCCAAGAAAUGUCUCUUCCUCAUGAUUCGUCACGCUAAUACACCCAUAAAAUAAUACAAUUUAGUGAGUUAGUGAUCACACUACUCACGCUAUGUGUUAGGUAAAUCGUCUUUUCCCGUGCAAGUAACACGAUUAGAGUGGAUCCCCGCACCUCUAUUGAGGGUAUUUAGCCAUAAGUCUUCAUGAGCCUUUCUUCCCGCGAUAUUCGUUCCGAACUGUUCACAAAUCUUUCCAGGACGGAGAGUGAAACCUUUCCCAGUAUAAAGGUAACUUAGUAGGAACGACUCCCAUCUUAUGGCUUUUUCCGACACUCACACUCCUACCUUGCAUACCAGGACUACAUCAUAGGGAUGUAGGUCGACACUCAGGCAACCAAUAUCUGAGGCACGGGAAAAAUUUAUGCCUAAUAAAGUAUGGACAGGUAUGUCCAGGGUUAACCAUCGUCUCUCAUCCGUUUGAGUUCUUUUCCGUAUAGUAAAACCAUGCCUCCGAAGGAUCGUAACCCAUCCGCUGGCAAGAAAUCGACUCUCCUAUUCGAUGAAGCUACGUUCCGGGCUGCAGUCUCGGCAGCCGUUGCAGCUGUCAUGGCCCAGCUAAAUGCUAACAACGCCAAUAUUAGCAAGAGCCCUAUCAGAAAUUCCGAUCCAAGUAAUGGACAACAGCAACCAACACCUACAUACCCAGCCACCCAAGAACCUCAACCAAAUCCACUGAAGAGAAAGUUCAAGAUUGAGGAGGGAAGUAGCUCGGCUCAAGGACCUUCCGAAGGGCAACAAGUUGAGACAGUCAAUAUCCCUGCCAGCUCUUCCAUCCCGACUUCAAGGAGACCACACCUAGGAAGCCUUCCCUACUGUGGCAAGUGUAGCUACCAUCAUCAUGGUAUAUGCCGGGAACUCUUCUGUGCUAGAUGCAACAGGAAGGGGCACACCUCACGUACCCGCAGAACCCCGGUGGAGUCUAUUACAUCAAUCACCAAUGUGACGACCAAUCCAGUUUGCCGUCUAUGUGGUGAGAUUGGACACUUCAAAAGGGACUGCCCAACCGAAGGAAACAACAAAGACUCAGGAGAAGUCUAACUCUAAUGCUUAGGGAGAAGCAUCAAGGAAAUCGGUAGAUUUUGGUACGUCUCUCAAUCUCAGAUAACUAACCGAAAACAUUAAAAGGCUAAUUCAAAAUGUAAAUACUUCCCCGUUAAGGCGAAAGUCGCAGCACUGUUAUAAAAUUUAAAAUUUCAUUAGGUAAAACUAUAAUGGCUACAUAUAUACGUUACGACCAUGUAUAAUUAAGAUGGAAAGACCUAGAGUGAGUGAAUGCCGCCUCAUUUCCUGUUCCUCGUUCGGUUGUGGAUUUAGGGUGGGGUCGCUCAGUCAACAUUCCUCCCCACCUUAAUUAUACAUGACUAGUAUAUGUUAGGCGAUUAUAGAGAUGCCUUGUGAGAAUCCAUUCAUGAAAAGGUACUCUACUACAUUCAGGACCCUUUAUAGUUCUGCGUCAACUCUAUCGGUCCAAGUAUCCGCGACAGUGAUACACGAGACAAAACCCGAGACGCCUUGAACGGGUGUGCCUGUUCGGCACAUGACUCUAUCGACCCUCACACCGUAUCAUGUCGAAGUGUGCCAACUUCGACGACUCUAUCAAUCAUGGUUCGACUUAAUGCGACCAUGUGUAAAUCCCUAGUGCUGUGUAAAAAGAACUUUUUCCUUAGCCAUUUCGGAAAUUAAAGGUUCUUCCGAACCUAAACAUAAUACAUAUAAUCAAACCUAAUGCGAUCCGUCAGCCGUCCCUCUUACCUCGAACCUUCCAAAGUACCCAAGAGAAGGGUACCGCACGCCGUUAACCAACCCUCCUUAGACAAGAAAGAAACCGAAACGAAAGACACUGCAGGUAUUCCAGAAGACGAUAACCACCCGAAGCAUACUCCGUAGACCCCCCAGAAAGACCCUUCGUACCUCGCAAUCAAGUUCGUGAAUCAAGAGAAUAGAACGCAUGGGAGUGACCACUAUAACUGAGUAUAUGUCUAAGGGUGAUAUAUAAUGGAGAUCGAAGUUCUGAGUGAUGGAACCCUAUACCCACUAGAUUUGACCUAGACCGAGAAGAACUCAGAACCUUCGGAAGAGUAGUUACGGAAGAUGUUCUCACUACUUAGGCACUUCGUCCACCCCGGUACUGACAAGUAGUGCCUAGAACCCUCCGCCCCCUCGCAUGGAGGAAGUCACCGUCGCCCUGUAGAAGAUAGAGUACAUUCUCUGAAGCGAACACUAGAAUACCGAGAACCAUAGGAUAACCUUCGCAGCUAAGAAUGCUUGAAUAAAGUGCGAAAGUAGGUUGCGUUAAGCCUUAUAACCUAGAUCCCGGAGUAAUUAUGGACUUGACACCAGUCUAGGUGUUAGUCAAUGGGUUAUACAAGAGCACGCACUUUCUGCAUCUGAAAUAAACCAACGCCUUAGAGAUUAGGGCAUGUCUUACAAGAUUCAUUGGACUACUAGGUGUUCCACGAAUACUAUCUCGCACAGAAAUAGUAGAACCACCUCCCGAGAUAGUCCAACACUCGUCUGGUGAAACCAUAUCUCCCCGACCCUGAGGGUUUCCGUUAGAAAUAUCUCAAGAAUCAGAAGUGCAGGUUCAUCUGCACAAUAUUGAGAUAGACACACUGCAGCAAACAGAUACCCGUAGACAUGCAAUCCAUCCGAUGAUCCGAAAAACCUUUGAAAGUCAAACAGUAGAAACACGAAAUCCAAGGACAACCCGAGCUUUCUAAGAACCAAUCCGAAGGACUACACUCCCAGUAUGAGAGAACGUUUGGAACUUCGGAAUGGCGAUCACACCAGUGAUGAUCUCGCCAUAGAAGUACACUAUGUUCUAAAUACUGAAAAGCUCUACCCUUCCGAGAGCUAAGGACCAUCCGAGAUUCUUUACAAAGAUUGGUCCAACCCUCGUCAGACCACUACUACUUCCGGAUAUUCCACAAGCCUCUAGACUUGAUAAGUGUUGCCCGACGUCACUCUUCGUAUCCCAUACAUCUUGAUAGAAACCAUUGGGAAUCCUAACUUCGUAGAUGAACCAAACAGGAAGUAUCCUCAAACCUUUACUCGAUCAUUCAUACCUACUUCCUUGCCUAAACCUGAAUUUCGAGACGAAAUUCCCUCUAACGGGGGGAUGAUGUGACAACCCAAAAAUUUCCGUUAGUUUUAACGUUGAAGUUAACAUCAAAAACUAACGUCAAAAUUAGUUACGUCAAAAAUUAGUCAAAUUUAUCCCGAAAAUAUUUUUGACCGGAAUUAAACCCGUUGGAAUAUUUUAAAUAAUAUUCGUCAAGUGAACAAAAAUUAAGGCGGUAUAAUUUUAAAGUUUGCCGUGAUUAAGGAAGUAGUGAAAAACCCGUUCGCGGUUGGUGUCAGGAAAACCCCAGCCAGGCCAUAAGCUCCACCCUAUAUAAGGGAGGAGUGGGAUUCACUCCCACCUUUUUCCCACCUUAGACUCUCUCUCUUUCUCUUUACUUUCUCUCUCUACAAAUGGGUUUUUGGUCAAAAAUCGCCCAUUCAAGAUCCAAAUCGGUAAGUUAACCUUCCUAGCUUGUUAUCUAACUUACCUAGCUUGCAAAUUCGUGACUUAAUCAUCCAAAAACCCCAAGAACAUGAGUUUACGGUCUUGGGAGCCUCCCAAAACCGUAAACCCCUUGGAUGUGGGUUUUAAAGCUCAAAAACCCUUCCAAAACACUUCUUAUCCUUAGCAAUGGCUUAGAGACUUACCCGAAAGGAUUUAGAACACCAAAAUCGGACCAAAUGGGGAGUAAACAUGAGUUUACGGUCUAAGAAUGUUCUUGGACCAUAAAACCAUGUUCAUGGACCAUAAACACCUUUUAAGGUGUCAAGCUACCCCUCAAACAACUCCAAGGGCUUCCAUGAACUUCCUAGAGUUCAUAGAACCUUAUUUUCCUUCAUUUUAUGCACCAAAGCAUACUAAAUGAUGUCACACUUGAGUUUAUGGCCCAAGAAGAUUCAUGGACCGUAAACACCCAUUCUUAGACCAUAAACACUCCCAAAGGGUGUUAUGCCCUUAACACUUUGUAUGGCUUGGAAUUGGACCUAGAACUUCGUAUGCUUAACCUAUAACCACAAAAACGCAUGAUUCAUGGUCUAACAUGAGUUUCCUGCCGUAAACUCAUGUGUUUAAGGUAGUAAACUCCCCAAGUGUAUCUCCUUAGACCGUAAACUCCUCAAGGAGUAAACUAUGGACUGUAAACUCCAUUUUGUGCCCAUUUUGAGCCCCAAUCACUUCCUUAGCCCUUGAUUCAAAUCUAGCAUGACUCCAUCAGUGAGUUAAGACCUUUAAGCAUCCCAUGACACUACUACCAUGAGUUUACGGCUGUAAACUCAUGGGGGAAAGGGUCUUGAAACCGUAAACACCCAUAAGGGCCUUCAUUUGAGGAGUAAACUCCAAAGUGAGUCCAUACACACCUUCUAUGCAACCCGGGACACUUCUAGCACUUGUAGAAAAGUGUUUUUAUGUCAUAAGACCUCCUUACUUGCUUAAUUAGUUGUUAAAUGACUAAUUAGAUACUUAAAUGUAUCAUUACAUGUUAAAUAGGAUUCGCGCGUGUGGUCAAGUCCUCACUUGACACUUUGCAUCCUAUACCGGCACCUUCACCCGAUCCACUUACAACAGGUGAGUUCAUACCCNACUUACACCAGGUGAGUUCAUACCCCUGAAUGAACCUUUUAAAUGUUUUUACAUGUUUUUUAGGGGGGGGAAUACAAGUUAAACAUGCCAGUUAUCAUAUCAAUCACAUGCGAUUGAUAACCCGCAUGCACGAGGAUUUAUUACACUGAUAACUGUUUUGCCAAGUAUGAUGCUGUAAAUGGUUUUCCAAAACGAAUUUACUUGUUCAAAUCUUUACUUAUUUUGUUUUAUCAAAACUAUAACCAAAAUAUGUUUAUGAAAGGUUUUCAAAGGAUUUCUAAAGGCUUUCAAACUUAUUUUACAAAAGAAUACCAAGUCGUGAUUUUCUUAAGUAUAAAGGUUUUCCCAAAGUUUUCUUCCAU